Ailuropoda melanoleuca (giant panda) is the source of this 1112-nucleotide long non-coding RNA. RefSeq lists it as uncharacterized. Lineage: Eukaryota; Metazoa; Chordata; Mammalia; Carnivora; Ursidae. The transcript is spliced from 4 exons. The record is from RefSeq and is a predicted model, not a curated record.
UCUAGUUUAUUCCAACACUGGGAGGUUGUUCCCAGUUGGAUAUCUCAAGUAUUGUGAAUGGCUGCUAACCUGAAGAACUUCACAUCUGUUACUUGAGGCUAGCUCUUGAGCAGCAAGACCCACUGAUGGAACAGGGAAUUCCUUGUGGACAGAGAGCCCGGUCUUAUUCACCUGUGCUCCUCCAUACCUAACAGGGUACCUAUGUACACACACACUUGGUAAACCUCUGCUUGCUGCAAUCGCUUGCCCUCUAGGAGUGUUUCCUGUGCAGACCUUGAAGGAAGGUCUCUGCAGCUAAAGCCAGGGAGUGAAGAAUGAAAAUCUCAAUCUCCACCAUCUCCCUUUCUUCAGUCUCUUCCAGUGGCCUCCCAUUGGCGAAACCCAACCAACUAUCGGUGGGCACAGGACCUCACUGAUACAGCACACAGAGGUCAGUGUGUUAGGUCAGAGAGCAGAAGGGAAAAGGGAAAAGGAUGGUGGUGCACACAAAGAAUGGUCAACAGACACAUCAUAACUGAGAGCAAACCGAAGCCUGGGGAAGAAUGGUGACUUGCCCACAUGAAGACGUCUCAUUUGUAGAGCCUCCUGAUAAUGGCCCAAACCAGCCAACACCUUGAUUUCAGCCUCUUGAGACCUGGAACAGAGAAACAGCUGAGUCUACACAGAUGUCUGACCUAGAGAACAAUGAGAUAAUAACUGUGUGUUUUUUUAAUCUAUGUUUGUGGCAGUUCGUCAUGGCAGCAAUAUAAAAAUUAAUACAGGGGUACAUGUAACUUGCAUUGGAUCCCCAGGAGCUCUGAGUUCUAUGGACCCAUUCUUUUUCAAGCUCCUCAUUGUGCAGGAGUCUAUGCUACGUAUCCCUGCUAAACAUUGUUGGACCCACUAGAGUAGCCCAGAUUUAAAGAAAAAACUGACAACACUACAUGUUGAUGAGCAUGUGGAGCAACUGGAACUCUCAUACACUAUUCGUGGGAAUAUAAAACGGUACAACUGGGGGCACCUGGGGGGGGUCAGUCGGUUGAGUAUCUGACUCUUGGUUUCAGCUCAGGUCAUGAUCUCAGGGUCCUGGGGAUCGAGCCCUGAGCUGGGCUCCAUGCUUGGUGGGGACUCUG